AACGUGGACCCGUUACCCGGGUUGCGGACAGUGUCUGGUGGGUAGUUUGACUGGGGCGGUCUCCUCCUAAAGAGUAACGGAGGAGCACGAAGGUUGGCUAAUCCUGGUCGGACAUCAGGAGGUUAGUGCAAUGGCAUAAGCCAGCUUGACUGCGAGCGUGACGGCGCGAGCAGGUGCGAAAGCAGGUCAUAGUGAUCCGGUGGUUCUGAAUGGAAGGGCCAUCGCUCAACGGAUAAAAGGUACUCCGGGGAUAACAGGCUGAUACCGCCCAAGAGUUCAUAUCGACGGCGGUGUUUGGCACCUCGAUGUCGGCUCAUCACAUCCUGGGGCUGAAGUAGGUCCCAAGGGUAUGGCUGUUCGCCAUUUAAAGUGGUACGCGAGCUGGGUUUAGAACGUCGUGAGACAGUUCGGUCCCUAUCUGCCGUGGGCGCUGGAGAACUGAGGGGGGCUGCUCCUAGUACGAGAGGACCGGAGUGGACGCAUCACUGGUGUUCGGGUUGUCAUGCCAAUGGCACUGCCCGGUAGCUAAAUGCGGAAGAGAUAAGUGCUGAAAGCAUCUAAGCACGAAACUUGCCCCGAGAUGAGUUCUCCCUGAGACUUAAAGUCUCCUGAAGGAACGUUGAAGACGACGACGUUGAUAGGCCGGGUGUGUAAGCGCAGCGAUGCGUUGAGCUAACCGGUACUAAUGAACCGUGAGGCUUAACCCUACAACGCCGAAG
This 719-nucleotide ribosomal RNA is filed under the name Salmonella enterica. Its description in RNAcentral is "partial 23S ribosomal RNA". It matches the Rfam family "Bacterial large subunit ribosomal RNA", at positions 2224 to 2925 of the family's 2925-position model. Lineage: Bacteria; Pseudomonadati; Pseudomonadota; Gammaproteobacteria; Enterobacterales; Enterobacteriaceae. The record is from RNAcentral.